This 496-nucleotide ribosomal RNA is filed under the name uncultured bacterium. RNAcentral describes it as "partial 16S ribosomal RNA". It matches the Rfam family "Bacterial small subunit ribosomal RNA", at positions 29 to 507 of the family's 1533-position model. The record is from RNAcentral.
AUGAACGCUGGCGGCGUGCCUAAUACAUGCCAGUCGAGCGAACAGACGAGGAGCUUGCUCCUCUGACGUUAGCGGCGGACGGGCGAGUAACACGUGGAUAACCUACCUAUAAGACUGGGAUAACUUCGGGAAACCGGAGCUAAUACCGGAUAAUAUAUUGAACCGCAUGGUUCAAUAGUGAAAGACGGUUUUGCUGUCACUUAUAGAUGGAUCCGCGCCGCAUUAGCUAGUUGGUAAGGUAACGGCUUACCAAGGCAACGAUGCGUAGCCGACCUGAGAGGGUGAUCGGCCACACUGGAACUGAGACACGGUCCAGACUCCUACGGGAGGCAGCAGUAGGGAAUCUUCCGCAAUGGGCGAAAGCCUGACGGAGCAACGCCGCGUGAGUGAUGAAGGUCUUCGGAUCGUAAAACUCUGUUAUUAGGGAAGAACAAAUGUGUAAGUAACUAUGCACGUCUUGACGGUACCUAAUCAGAAAGCCACGGCUAACUACGUG